AAUGAAUUUUAUUCUUGUUUAGAAAUUUGCUAUUAUUUAAUUUUAUAUGUUUAUGGUUGUUUGCCUUGAUCUAAAUGGUCUGUUAGUUAAAUAUCAGUAAAUAAAAUUAAUAUUUUGGUAAUUCAAUAAUUAGUUAUAGUAUGAGUAUUGAUAGAAUAUGUGCCAGCAUUCGCGGUUAUACAUGAAAUACUAGUGAAUUAAAUCAGUUAAUUAGUUAUUUAUAAGAAUAUAAUAUAAGUUAGUAAUUUUUAGGUGAAAUUUAAAUUUUAUGAGAUAUUAAUUAAUAUGAAAGAAGCUAUGAAAUUUAAUUAGAUAGACUAGGAUUAGAUACCCUAUUAUUUUAGAUGUAAAGUUAGUUGAACUGGAGUAGUAUUAGUUAUGACCUUGAAACUUAAAGAAUUUGGCGGUAUUUUAGUCUAUUUAGAGGAAUCUGUCCCUUAAUCGAUAGUCCACGUUGAACCUUACUUGAUUUAAAGUAUGUAUACCGCCGUUGUUGAAAAUCUUUUUAGAGUGAUUUUCUUGAUUUUUUAUUAGUAAAUAUUUCAGGUCAAGGUGCAGCUGAUAAUUGAGUGGAGAUGGAUUACAGUGUUAGUAGACAGACGGAUUGAGUAUUAAAAUUUAAUUGAAGGUGGAUUUAAUUGUAAAUUUGUGAAGAUUUUCAAAUUGAUAAAAGCUCUAAAAUGUGCACACAUCGCCCGUCGCUCUCGUUAAUUAAAAUGAGAUAAGUCGUAACAAAGUAGGUGUACCGGAAGGUGUAGCUAGAACGUC
RNAcentral lists this non-coding RNA (768 nucleotides) under Elliptorhina chopardi. Lineage: Eukaryota; Metazoa; Arthropoda; Insecta; Blattodea; Blaberidae. The record is from RNAcentral.